This 458-nucleotide ribosomal RNA is filed under the name uncultured bacterium. Its description in RNAcentral is "bacterial SSU rRNA". It matches the Rfam family "Bacterial small subunit ribosomal RNA", at positions 335 to 784 of the family's 1533-position model. The record is from RNAcentral.
ACUCCUACGGGAGGCAGCAGUGGGGAAUAUUGGACAAUGGGCGAAAGCCUGAUCCAGCCAUGCCGCGUGUGUGAAGAAGGUCUUCGGAUUGUAAAGCACUUUAAGUUGGGAGGAAGGGCAGUAAGUUAAUACCUUGCUGUUUUGACGUUACCAACAGAAUAAGCACCGGCUAACUUCGUGCCAGCAGCCGCGGUAAUACGAAGGGUGCAAGCGUUAAUCGGAAUUACUGGGCGUAAAGCGCGCGUAGGUGGUUCAGCAAGUUGGAUGUGAAAUCCCCCGGGCUCAACCUGGGGAACUGCAUCCAAAACUACUGAGCUAGAGUACGGUAGAGGGUGGUGGAAUUUCCUGUGUAGCGGUGAAAUGCGUAGAUAUAGGAAGGAACACCAGUGGCGAAGGCGACCACCUGGACUGAUACUGACACUGAGGUGCGAAAGCGUGGGAGCAAACAGGAUUAGAUA